Molecule: ribosomal RNA, 270 nt
Filed under: uncultured Lachnospiraceae bacterium
Lineage: Bacteria; Bacillati; Bacillota; Clostridia; Lachnospirales; Lachnospiraceae
Description: partial 16S ribosomal RNA
Rfam family: Bacterial small subunit ribosomal RNA
Source: RNAcentral
UUCGGAUUGAAGUUGCUUAUGACUGAGUGGCGGACGGGUGAGUAACGCGUGGGUAACCUGCCUCACACAGGGGGAUAGCAGUUGGAAACGGCUGAUAAUACCGCAUAAGCGCACAGUACCGCAUGGUACAGUGUGAAAAACUCCGGUGGUGUGAGAUGGACCCGCGUCUGAUUAGCUUGUUGGCAGGGUAACGGCCUACCAAGGCAACGAUCAGUAGCCGACCUGAGAGGGUGACCGGCCACAUUGGGACUGAGACACGGCCCAGACUCC